UUUAGAUAAUAAAAACCUCAUUCCUGAUAUUUAAAAAAAAUGUACUUUCGGUUCACAGGAUGAAAAUCAUUAUGUAAAACCACACAGGUACAGAAAGAACGAUGACUACUCUUUGCCAGGUGCUUUACCUAGGCUGUGUUUUCUGCUUUUUUAUAACGUGCCAUCCUUACAUUAGGAAGAGAGCGAGCCUCACAGAAUCUAAUUAUUUUGUCCAGAGUCAUAAAGUCUAGCUUUGAAACCAAGUCCAUCUAAAUCCCAUUUUCUUAACGUUUCACCCAGCCGGGAGAUAAUGGACACUAAAAGGCAGGCACGUACCAAAAAAGAUACAUUCUUU
Molecule: long non-coding RNA, 334 nt
Filed under: Bos taurus (domestic cattle)
Lineage: Eukaryota; Metazoa; Chordata; Mammalia; Artiodactyla; Bovidae
Description: long non-coding RNA NONBTAT016564
Source: RNAcentral